GAUGGAACGCCCGGUGGAGCGGUGAAAUGCAUAGAGAUCGGGCAGAACACCAGUGGGGAAGCCGGUCACCUGGCACGGACCUGACGCUGAGGCGCGACAGCGUGGGGAGCAAACGGGAUUAGAUACCCCGGUAGUCCACGCCGUAAACGAUGUGGAGCAGGUGUGGGGGCGUGAUUGCGCGCCUCCGUGCCGCAGCUUACGCGCUGACUCCACCGCCUGGGAACUACGGCCGCAAGGCUAAAACUCAAAGGAAUUGACGGGGGCCCGCACAAGCAGCGGAGCGUGUGGUUUAAUUCGACGCAACACGAAGCACCUCACCCAGGCUUGACAUGCCGCUGCAGGGCGCGGAAACGCGCCGGCCUUUGAGGGAGCGGCACCGGUGCUGCAUGGCUGUCGUCAGCUCGUG
RNAcentral lists this ribosomal RNA (406 nucleotides) under uncultured bacterium. RNAcentral describes it as "bacterial SSU rRNA". It matches the Rfam family "Bacterial small subunit ribosomal RNA", at positions 660 to 1064 of the family's 1533-position model. The record is from RNAcentral.